CCUACGGGUGGCAGCAGUGGGGAAUAUUGCACAAUGGGGGGAACCCUGAUGCAGCAACGCCGCGUGGGUGAAGAAGUACUACGGGAUGUAAAGCCCUGUCAGCAGGGAAGAAAAUGACGGUACCUGACCAAGAAGCCCCGGCCAACUACGUGCCAGCAGCCGCUGGAAUACGUAGGGGGCAAGCGUUAUCCGGAUUUACUGGGCGUAAAGGGAGCGUAGACGGCAAGGCAAGUCUGGGGUGAAAGCCUGUGGCUCAACCCCGGGUCUGCUUUGGAAACUGUGUUGCUGGAGUGCAGUAGGGGUAAGCGGAAUUCCUAGUGUAGCGGUGAAAUGCGUAGAUAUUAGGAGGAACCCCGGUGGCGAAGGCGGCUUACUGGACUGUAACUGACGUUGAGGCUCGAAAGCGUGGGGAGCAAACAGGAUUAGAUACCCUUGUAGUC
RNAcentral lists this ribosomal RNA (440 nucleotides) under uncultured bacterium. RNAcentral's name for it is "partial 16S ribosomal RNA". It matches the Rfam family "Bacterial small subunit ribosomal RNA", at positions 338 to 795 of the family's 1533-position model. The record is from RNAcentral.